GUAGGUGGCAAGCGUUGUCCGGAAUUAUUGGGCGUAAAGCGCGCGCAGGCGGUCCUUUAAGUCUGAUGUGAAAGCCCACGGCUCAACCGUGGAGGGUCAUUGGAAACUGGGGGACUUGAGUACAGAAGAGGAAAGCGGAAUUCCAAGUGUAGCGGUGAAAUGCGUAGAGAUUUGGAGGAACACCAGUGGCGAAGGCGGCUUUCUGGUCUGUAACUGACGCUGAGGCGCGAAAGCGUGGGGAGCAAACAGGAUUAGAUACCCUGGUAGUCCACGCCGUAAACGAUGAGUGCUAAGUGUUAGGGGGUUUCCGCCCCUUAGUGCUGCAGCUAACGCAUUAAGCACUCCGCCUGGGGAGUACGGCCGCAAGGCUA
This 371-nucleotide ribosomal RNA is filed under the name uncultured organism. RNAcentral's name for it is "partial 16S ribosomal RNA". It matches the Rfam family "Bacterial small subunit ribosomal RNA", at positions 527 to 896 of the family's 1533-position model. The record is from RNAcentral.